AGUCGAGCGAACGGACGAGAAGCUUGCUUCUCUGAUGUUAGCGGCGGACGGGUGAGUAACACGUGGAUAACCUACCUAUAAGACUGGGAUAACUUCGGGAAACCGGAGCUAAUACCGGAUAAUAUUUUGAACCGCAUGGUUCAAAAGUGAAAGACGGUCUUGCUGUCACUUAUAGAUGGAUCCGCGCUGCAUUAGCUAGUUGGUAAGGUAACGGCUUACCAAGGCAACGAUGCAUAGCCGACCUGAGAGGGUGAUCGGCCACACUGGAACUGAGACACGGUCCAGACUCCUACGGGAGGCAGCAGUAGGGAAUCUUCCGCAAUGGGCGAAAGCCUGACGGAGCAACGCCGCGUGAGUGAUGAAGGUCUUCGGAUCGUAAAACUCUGUUAUUAGGGAAGAACAUAUGUGUAAGUAACUGUGCACAUCUUGACGGUACCUAAUCAGAAAGCCACGGCUAACUACGUGCCAGCAGCCGCGGUAAUACGUAGGUGGCAAGCGUUAUCCGGAAUUAUUGGGCGUAAAGCGCGCGUAGGCGGUUUUUUAAGUCUGAUGUGAAAGCCCACGGCUCAACCGUGGAGGGUCAUUGGAAACUGGAAAACUUGAGUGCAGAAGAGGAAAGUGGAAUUCCAUGUGUAGCGGUGAAAUGCGCAGAGAUAUGGAGGUACACCAGUGGCGAAGGCGACUUUCUGGUCUGU
RNAcentral lists this ribosomal RNA (695 nucleotides) under uncultured Staphylococcus sp. RNAcentral describes it as "bacterial SSU rRNA". It matches the Rfam family "Bacterial small subunit ribosomal RNA", at positions 60 to 737 of the family's 1533-position model. The record is from RNAcentral. Lineage: Bacteria; Bacillati; Bacillota; Bacilli; Caryophanales; Staphylococcaceae.